GUGGGGAAUCUUGCGCAAUGGGCGAAAGCCUGACGCAGCCAUGCCGCGUGGAUGAUGAAGGUCUUAGGAUUGUAAAAUCCUUUCACCGGUGAAGAUAAUGACGGUAUCCGGAGAAGAAGCCCCGGCUAACUUCGUGCCAGCAGCCGCGGUAAUACGAAGGGGGCUAGCGUUGUUCGGAAUUACUGGGCGUAAAGCGCACGUAGGCGGACAUUUAAGUCAGGGGUGAAAUCCCAGAGCUCAACUCUGGAACUGCCCUUGAUACUGGCGAUCUUGAGUGUGAGAGAGGUAUGUGGAACUCCGAGUGUAGAGGUGAAAUUCGUAGAUAUUCGGAAGAACACCAGUGGCGAAGGCGACAUACUGGCUCAUUACUGACGCUGAGGCGCGAAAGCGUGGGGAGCAAACAGGAUUAGAAACCCCGGUAGUCC
Molecule: ribosomal RNA, 425 nt
Filed under: uncultured bacterium
Lineage: Bacteria
Description: partial 16S ribosomal RNA
Rfam family: Bacterial small subunit ribosomal RNA
Source: RNAcentral